This 336-nucleotide ribosomal RNA is filed under the name uncultured bacterium. RNAcentral's name for it is "partial 16S ribosomal RNA". It matches the Rfam family "Bacterial small subunit ribosomal RNA", at positions 338 to 691 of the family's 1533-position model. The record is from RNAcentral.
CCUACGGGAGGCAGCAGUAGGGAAUAUUGCUCAAUGGGGGAAACCCUGAAGCAGCAACGCCGCGUGGAGGAUGAAGGUUUUAGGAGUGUAAACUCCUUUUGUUAGAGAAGAGGAGGACGGUAUCUAACGAAUAAGCACCGGCUAACUCCGGGCCAGCAGCCGCGGUAAUACGGAGGGUGCAAGCGUUACUCGGAAUCACUGGGCGUAAAGAGUGCGUAGGCGGGGUACGAAGUCAGAUGUGAAAUCCUGUAGCUGAACUACAGAACUGCAUUUGAAACUGUUACUCUGGAGUGUGGGAGAGGUCGGUGGAAUUCUUUGUGUCGGGGUCCCCUCCGU